RNAcentral lists this ribosomal RNA (499 nucleotides) under Staphylococcus aureus. RNAcentral describes it as "partial 23S ribosomal RNA". It matches the Rfam family "Bacterial large subunit ribosomal RNA", at positions 344 to 846 of the family's 2925-position model. The record is from RNAcentral. Lineage: Bacteria; Bacillati; Bacillota; Bacilli; Caryophanales; Staphylococcaceae.
GGAAAGAUGAAUCAAAGAAGGUAAUAAUCCUGUAGUCGAAAAUGUUGUCUCUCUUGAGUGGAUCCUGAGUACGACGGAGCACGUGAAAUUCCGUCGGAAUCUGGGAGGACCAUCUCCUAAGGCUAAAUACUCUCUAGUGACCGAUAGUGAACCAGUACCGUGAGGGAAAGGUGAAAAGCACCCCGGAAGGGGAGUGAAAUAGAACCUGAAACCGUGUGCUUACAAGUAGUCAGAGCCCGUUAAUGGGUGAUGGCGUGCCUUUUGUAGAAUGAACCGGCGAGUUACGAUUUGAUGCAAGGUUAAGCAGUAAAUGUGGAGCCGUAGCGAAAGCGAGUCUGAAUAGGGCGUUUAGUAUUUGGUCGUAGACCCGAAACCAGGUGAUCUACCCUUGGUCAGGUUGAAGUUCAGGUAACACUGAAUGGAGGACCGAACCGACUUACGUUGAAAAGUGAGCGGAUGAACUGAGGGUAGCGGAGAAAUUCCAAUCGAACCUGGAGAU